RNAcentral lists this long non-coding RNA (1336 nucleotides) under Triticum aestivum (bread wheat). RNAcentral's name for it is "long non-coding RNA (TAES_LNC018414)". The record is from RNAcentral. Lineage: Eukaryota; Viridiplantae; Streptophyta; Magnoliopsida; Poales; Poaceae.
CUAGUUCUUUUUAGCUUUUGAUUCUCCAGAAUCAACUUUUGGGAAACUUCCCACAGAAUCAGCUUCUCUCAGAAUCAGCCAGAAUCAACCGUCGAGUUCUUUUCUGAGAUUUUGGUCUAUUAUUAUGGGAUGAGUUGUAUGCUGAAAUGUCUGUAAUGUCCCUGAACUAAAACUGAGUGUUGAAUUGCUAACACUUGGUUGUUUCGAACAAAUUAUCGUCGAAUAUGAGCAUGAAUACGAUUUAUGAAUAUUUUAGCUCGCUAAAUAUUACAAUAAAGAAGGUUUCCAAGUUUCCCUUGCUACAAAAGAAGUUGCUAAAUAUUAUUACAAAUAGACUGACUAAUCUCAUGGUACAAGACUGGUAGCAAUAGCAUCGCGUGUUUCAGCCAUGGUACCAUCAUCUUCUGGUGGUAGAGCAUUGGCGCGUGUAAAUGGCAAUGGGGGCUACACACACGCAUCAUUAGCACAUAGCAGUAGCAAAACAGAACCACUCACAAGUAGCAUUGAGCAAUUGUAGUAGAAAAAAGAAUUAAAAAAAAUCAUCUACCUACACAUUAUAGAGAAGAACUCUUGUUCCAUGUACAGAGAAGAAUCUAACAAAUAAACUCGGGUAGAAAAAAGAGUAAGAGUAGGGCGUUUUGGUGCCCAGGCUCAUCUGCACCAGGUUAGAAAAAAAUCAUAAAAAAUUCAAAACAAAUUCAAAAAAUUCCAAAUAAAAUUUGUGUGGUAGACAAUUUUAUGCGUGAGGCCCGCUCCAAAUUUCAAGUCAUUUGGACAUAUGAGCAGCUCUCAGCAAAAAAGACAAAUCGGGCCAAAACAGUACAUGAAUAGUAAACAUUUUUACAGACCCCCAAUUUAUCUUUUUUGCUGAGAGCUGCUCAUAUGUCCAAAUGACUUGAAAUUUGGAGCGGGCCUCACGCAUCAAAUUGUCUACCACACAGAUUUUAUUUGGAAUUUUUUGAAUUCUUCUAGUAUUUGUUUUGAUUUUUUUCGUCGGUGCGGGUGCAGAUGAGCUCAGGGGCAGAAAUGGAUUUUCGAUCUACCUACACAUUAUAGAGAAGAACUCUUGUUCCAUGUACAGAGAAGAAUCUAACAAAUAAACUAACAUCAUCUACAUUCAUCCAUCAAUCAAGCAAAUCAUCUACAUCCAUCUAGCAAUCCAUUGUCCCAUGUACAGAAAAGAGCUACAAAUCAUCUACAUCCAUCUAUCCAUCCACUCUUCCAUGUACAGAGAAAAUAGAAGAGAGAGAGAGAGAGAGAGAGAGAGAGAGAGAGAGAGAGAGAGAGAGGCUCACCGAGGCAGCGGACAGAGGACAGCAGCAGCCGGCUGGAUGGC